Long non-coding RNA from Tarenaya hassleriana, 386 nucleotides. RefSeq lists it as uncharacterized. The transcript has 2 exons. NCBI's taxonomy places the organism in Eukaryota, Viridiplantae, Streptophyta, Magnoliopsida, Brassicales, Cleomaceae. The record is from RefSeq and is a predicted model, not a curated record.
AUGAUGACGAGCUGCUCCUCCGAAGUGAUGUUUCCACGUCUUAAGUCGGGGCGGAGAUAGUUCAGCCACCGCAGCCGACAACUUUUUCCGAACACAUGGAAGUCCUCAAGACCUAACUAUCCUCUUUUAAGAAUCUCAUAUAUAGUUCACGAGCCAAAUCGGAUUCAACUCGUUUUUAGACGAGUUGGAUCAAAGAUUUUUGGACACAAUGAUUCAAGUCGGGCCAAAUCAGUUCGCGAGACAUUGCAAGUAGAGCUUAAUAUCAUAUUUAUCUGUAUUUGAACGAUAGAUUACAAUUUUAUGUUUGUAUUAUUUGAUUUCGUCAUAGACAUACAUGCAUAUAUAUACACACUUGUAUUUAUAUAGAUCAGAAUAUAAUUUUUUUU